CGUGAACGCGUACUUGCUGUUCGUAUAUCCCUAAAGAUAAGGUUUGGGGGUCUCUACAGGGAACCGUAAAUUCCUGGCUACGGAUGGGUGCCUUUGGCUU
Molecule: non-coding RNA, 100 nt
Filed under: Paenibacillus sabinae
Lineage: Bacteria; Bacillati; Bacillota; Bacilli; Caryophanales; Paenibacillaceae
Description: Guanine sequence
Rfam family: Purine riboswitch aptamer
About the family: Riboswitches are metabolite binding domains within certain messenger RNAs that serve as precision sensors for their corresponding targets. Allosteric rearrangement of mRNA structure is mediated by ligand binding, and this results in modulation of gene expression.
Source: RNAcentral